This is a long non-coding RNA of Notolabrus celidotus (New Zealand spotty), 699 nucleotides long. RefSeq lists it as uncharacterized. The transcript has 3 exons. NCBI's taxonomy places the organism in Eukaryota, Metazoa, Chordata, Actinopteri, Labriformes, Labridae. The record is from RefSeq and is a predicted model, not a curated record.
ACUUCACUUCCUGUCUUUAUGUGUUUUCCCACCUCAGUAAUUGUGUGCCCCGCCCUAAUUAGUUUCACCUGUGUCUCGUUCGACCCACCUGUGUCUCGUUUGACCCACCUGUGUCUGAUUACCCCUUGCAUGUAUUCAGUCUCUGGUUUCCUCCCUCCUGUGUUCUUCUGAGCUCCUGUUUGGAUUUUGAGUUGGACUUUCAUUGAGAGAUCAUUUCCUGCUGACCAAGGCCGGAUCAUGACAUGCCACGCUGCCAUUGACCUCACAAAUGACUAACCCAGGGACAUGGUGGCCUGUAACUUCAGCAGAGCAAAGUGAUCUAAUGAGGAUCUAAUGGAACGAAGUAGAGGAGCUUCACUUCACAUGAUUCAGAGAAGGACUGACGAUGCUGGCUCCGUUUCAGCUCUUUGAUGCUGCUGGAAAACAAGAGUUCUACAUUCACAGACAUUCAUUCAAGUUGCAGAAGUCCCCGCACAUUGUGCACCAGAUAAAUUAUGCAUAUACAUACAACACGCAGGAUGUGAGUAGCUACUUGAGAUUUUAGUAUCAUUCUUAUCACAUCCUGGCAUGUUCUGUACAGAAGCAGAGUUACAUAGAAGUGUUUUUGUUCACUGCACAUUAACUCAUUCAUCUGAAUAACGAUGCAUGAGAUAAUCUACUGAAGCUGAAUUAUUCAAUCAAAUAAAUGAUCCAAACUUG